AGCAUGGGUAGCGAACAGGAUUAGAUACCCUGGUAGUCCAUGCCGUAAACGAUGAGUGCUAAGUGUUGGGAGGUUUCCGCCUCUCAGUGCUGCAGCUAACGCAUUAAGCACUCCGCCUGGGGAGUACGACCGCAAGGUUGAAACUCAAAGGAAUUGACGGGGCCGCACAAGCGGUGGAGUAUGUGGUUUAAUUCGAUGCAACGCGAAGAACCUUACCAGGACUUGACAU
This 229-nucleotide ribosomal RNA is filed under the name uncultured bacterium. RNAcentral's name for it is "partial 16S ribosomal RNA". It matches the Rfam family "Bacterial small subunit ribosomal RNA", at positions 758 to 987 of the family's 1533-position model. The record is from RNAcentral.